AGGUCUAACACGAAGUGGGAGGGGGGGAGUUGUGAAAGGUUUUUUUGUUAAUGCAAUGACGAAAUUAAAAAUAAAACUGGAAAUUAAAUACAACCAAACAUAAUUGAAAACCUUGGAAUAAAUGGACAAAACAUGAAGAUCGAACGGUCCUACAGAUGACCGAACGAUUCUACAUUGAGACCAAACUAUCUCUAAACCAAGUGAGGAAAAUGGAAAUCCAAGAAGGUAAAGAAACCAAACAAAAUAGACAAUAUGGUGAAUGGAAAAAGAAAAUUGAACACUGCAAUAGAUAAAUAUCCAAACACAAUUAAAGCCAUUAAAAUGCAACACUAAAUUAAGUGGAUGAAAAACAACUGAACCUACUAAUUAAACUAAGUGAAAUCAAGAGAAUUUAGCAAGCCUAAUUAACUUCUAGUAAAUUAUGUGAACCAAGGUGCAAUUAACAAAUAAAUUAAAAGUUCAAUUGGCCAAAGAAAAGCACAUAGCCGUGAGUCACCAUGCACCCAAGUCAAACUCCAAGUUCACCUUCUAUAAGCCACCAAAUGUGUUGACUUCUUCUCCCAUGUGCACCAUUUUUCAAGGAAAUUAACAUGUGCCUUCCAAGCUCUCCAAGACCGUCCCUUCUCUCCUUCCAUGCAGCAAAAAUUCUCAUUCAAUAGAAAAGCACAAAUUUACGUGAGC
RNAcentral lists this long non-coding RNA (681 nucleotides) under Vigna radiata. Its description in RNAcentral is "long non-coding RNA (VRAD_LNC008201)". The record is from RNAcentral. Lineage: Eukaryota; Viridiplantae; Streptophyta; Magnoliopsida; Fabales; Fabaceae.